CGCAUCUGUGCAUGCAGCAUAUCAAUAAGCGGAGGAAAAGAAACUAACAAGGAUUCCCCUAGUAACGGCGAGUGAAGCGGGAAGAGCUCAAAUUUGAAAUCUUCAAGGUUUUACCUUGACGAAUUGUAGUUUAAAGAAGUGUUUUCUGUUGGAGUUUUGGUAAAAGUUCUUUGGAAUAGGACAUCAUAGAGGGUGAGAAUCCCGUAUUUGACCAUUAUUUUCAGCUGUGUGAUACACUUUCAAAGAGUCGGAUUGUUUGGGAAUGCAGUCCAAAAUGGGUGGUAAAUUUCAUCUAAAGCUAAAUAUUGGCGAGAGACCGAUAGCGAACAAGUACCGUGAGGGAAAGAUGAAAAGAACUUUGAAAAGAGAGUUAAACAGUACGUGAAAUUGUCAAAAGGGAAGCGUUUGACACCAGUGUUGUUUUCUCGAAAAUCAAUUAAAAAGAGUUUGAUUUUGUUGUGUAUUGACCUUAACAGCUUGCAUUUCAAUUUUCUUGCUUUUUUUAAUGCACUUUUCGUUUAACAAGUCAACAUCAGUUUCUUUUGUUGUAAAAAGGUCAUUGGAAGGUGGCUUUCUUUUCGGAGAAAGUGUUUAUAGCCUUUGACUCCUGCAAUCGGAGAGGCUGAGGUCUGCAGCGUAGAUCCUUCGGGGUUAGAUACAUUUGUGCUAAGUUAUAGCUUUUUAUAGACAACUUGUUGACUAUGAUUAGUCUUGUAGCUUACUCGCUUAUGCUAUUUUACCUACGCUUAGGAUGUUGAUGUGAUACUGCGAGCA
RNAcentral lists this ribosomal RNA (774 nucleotides) under uncultured Neocallimastigales. Its description in RNAcentral is "partial large subunit ribosomal RNA". It matches the Rfam family "Eukaryotic large subunit ribosomal RNA", at positions 26 to 629 of the family's 3401-position model. Lineage: Eukaryota; Fungi; Neocallimastigomycota; Neocallimastigomycetes; Neocallimastigales. The record is from RNAcentral.